CCCUCCUCUUUCCCCCUCCAUCAGCCUCUGCCUUGCCCCCUAGCUAUUACUGUUGGUCAACACCUGUCUUGUACCAGCCCUCCAACAAGGUCGCUGUAGUGCAAAUAGGCUGACUGUUGCUGACUGACUGCUGGCUCCUGAUAGGCUCCUCUCGGAAAGGGAAGGCUCGGGUCCCAGGGUCAUUUUCGGAAAGGCGAGGAGACUGUGUUUGGUUUCGCUCCUGGGACCAGUCUGAGAAGAGGAAAGAGAAGCAAAUGAAGAAAAAGAGAGAAACAGUAGCUUUUAACACAGUGUAGACCGGGGGGUUGUUUUAACACAGUGUAGACAGGGGGGUUGUUUUAACACAGUGUAGACAGAGGGUUGUUUUAACACAGUGUAGACAGGGGGUUGUUUUAACACAGUAUAGACAGGGGGUUGUUUUAACACAGUGUAGACAGGGGGUUGUUUUAACACAGUGUAGACAGAGGGUUGUUUUAACACAGUCUAGACAGGGGGCUGUUUUAACACAGUUGUGUGAGUUGUGGCUUAUGAACUUCUACUUCUGGUAGGUUCUUAUCUCGGGCUCCUGAUUGGCUCAUUGCGGUCUAAGGCACUGCAUCUCUGGUGCUACAGGCGUCACUACAGACCCUGGUUCGAUUCCAGGCUGUAUCCACCACCGGCCGUGAUUGGGAGUCCCAUAAGGCAUAACACAAUUGGCUGUCUGCGUUUUGCCGGGGAUAGGCUGUCAUUGUAAAUAUGAAUUUGUUCUUCACUGACUUGUCUAGUUAAAUAAAGCUUAAUAAAUAAAAUAAAGUACCAGGAGAGUGAGCACUGCCAUUGAUUAGAGCACACACACACACAGCCCCCCUCGCUAUGACCUGAGUUGAAAACAGUGUAAAAUGGAGAGAUAAAGGAAUCAGGGGAGAAAAUAGUCUUUCAACGAUACAGCCCUGUUGUUCUUUUUAUGGGAAAUAAUAAAAUAGCCCCUCAAGGGGGGGGAUUGUUGUAAACUUGUUGGAAGAAGCAGGUUGCAAUGUUAACAAUGGUAUAUUUAUGAGCAACAACUUCUUGGAGUGUCUUUUUUAAAAAUGUUAUCAGGGAGACUAAUAUCAAGUCAAUUUGAUCCCGAGGCAGGAACAUUGGACAACUAUUUAGGGCUAGAAACAAAGUGUAUUUAUUAUAAUCUAUGGCAGUGCUCACAGUGAAGUAUCGCUAUUAGCCACAAAGCCAGCAGUCUCUCUAAUGGGUUAUAAAUGAGAAGAACACAGUUUGAAAUGUGAAUCACAGUGAUGCAUGAAAUAAGCUAAUUUCCAUAUAUAUGUAGCUCAGGGAUUCUUGAAAGACGGGGACAUGAACCCCCCCCCCCAAAAAAAAUCACCAAUCAUUUUCUU
Molecule: long non-coding RNA, 1370 nt
Organism: Oncorhynchus tshawytscha (Chinook salmon)
Lineage: Eukaryota; Metazoa; Chordata; Actinopteri; Salmoniformes; Salmonidae
Source: Ensembl